This 1464-nucleotide small RNA is filed under the name Pan troglodytes (chimpanzee). RNAcentral describes it as "processed transcript". The record is from RNAcentral. Lineage: Eukaryota; Metazoa; Chordata; Mammalia; Primates; Hominidae.
AACAAUGUAUUUGCUCUGAGUUGCAGCCGAUUAACUUUUCUUCAGAGGCAAAUGUAGACUUAUCUCUCCUUCUCCUGACCACCCACCACAUUAUACUUAAGAAAAUGGAAAGGGGUAGAUUUAUUCCUGACGACAUUGAAUGCCACCACUAGUACCUUCCAGUUUGAAAUAUGGGAAAAUUUGGAUGGAAACUUCUCUGUCAGUACUAUAUUGGAAAAACCUCAAAAUAUGAUGGUGGUUGGACAGUCAGCAUUUGCAGACUUUGAUGGAGAUGGACACAUGGAUCAUUUACUGCCAGGCUGUGAAGAUAAAAAUUGCCAAAAGAGUACCAUCUACUUAGUGAGAUCUGGGACGAAGCAGUGGGUUCCAGUCCUACAAGAUUUCAGCAAUAAGGGCACACUCUGGGGCUUUGUGCCAUUUGUGGAUGAACAGCAACCAACUGAAAUACCAAUUCCAAUUACCCUUCAUAUUGGAGACUACAAUAUGGAUGGCUAUCCAGACGCUCUGGUCAUACUAAAGAACACAUCUGGAAGCAACCAGCAGGCCUUUUUACUGGAGAACGUCCCUUGUAAUAACGCAAGCUGUGAAGAGGCGCGUCGAAUGUUUAAAGUCUACUGGGAGCUGACAGACCUAAAUCAAAUUAAGGAUGCCAUGGUUGCCACCUUCUUUGACAUUUACGAAGAUGGAAUCUUGGACAUUGUAGUGCUAAGUAAAGGAUAUACAAAGAAUGAUUUUGCCAUCCAUACACUAAAAAAUAACUUUGAAGCAGAUGCUUAUUUUGUUAAAGUUAUUGUUCUUAGUGGUCUGUGUUCUAAUGACUGUCCUCGUAAGAUAACACCCUUUGGAGUGAAUCAACCUGGACCUUAUAUCAUGUAUACAACUGUAGAUGCAAAUGGGUAUCUGAAAAAUGGAUCAGCUGGCCAACUCAGCCAAUCCGCACAUUUAGCUCUCCAACUACCAUACAACGUGCUUGGUUUAGGUCGGAGCGCAAAUUUUCUUGACCAUCUCUAUGUUGGUAUUCCCCGUCCAUCUGGAGAAAAAUCUAUACGAAAACAAGAGUGGACUGCAAUCAUUCCAAAUUCCCAGCUAAUUGUCAUUCCAUACCCUCACAAUGUCCCUCGAAGUUGGAGUGCCAAACUGUAUCUUACACCAAGUAAUAUUGUUCUGCUUACUGCUAUAGCUCUCAUCGGUGUCUGUGUUUUCAUCUUGGCAAUAAUUGGCAUUUUACAUUGGCAGGAAAAGAAAGCAGAUGAUAGAGAAAAACGACAAGAAGCCCACCGGUUUCAUUUUGAUGCUAUGUGACUUGCCUUUAAUAUUACAUAAUGGAAUGGCUGUUCACUUGAUUAGUUGAAACACAAAUUCUGGCUUGAAAAAAUAGGGGAGAUUAAAUACUAUUUAUAAAUGAUGUAUCCCAUGGUAAUUAUUGGAAAGUAUUCAAAUAAAUAUGGUUUGAAUAUGUCACAA